CACCCAAAAGAUGGCACACAGACAUGAAACAGCAAUUAGAAGCAGUGUGCAAAGCAGAUAAAACUGCCUUAAAAGCUGGAGAGAUUUUUUAAAAAGUAUUUCUUGGUGCUGAAAAGAUAACAGUGCAGAGACUGGUGUGCCUCCUGGAGAGAAAAUCUAAUGAUCAGACUGCCUUGACUGAAAAUUGCCCAAACCCUGGCUGCCACAGGCCCCUUAAAAUGUUGUGAGACACUUGGAAGGGAGCUUUGACCAGUGGCUUUGGCACACAUGCUGACUGACAGGUGCAAGCAUAAGAUGUCACAUUAGAGUACAAGCAGUCUGAGGCAGGAAAUUUCAGAAAGACAAUGGGGCUGCUGGCAGAAGGAUGGCUGGAGUCUCCAGCAUGAUUACAUAUACAGAAAAAAGGCCUACAACUCCCAUCUUUCAUCACCCAGACAUUGCAUCCUAAGCCUGUAAUCCAAUGUGCACUUAAUUGGAGAAACAUGCUUAUGGAUGUGGGCAAAUGCCAGAAUGAGAGUGGGUAGAGUGGUCCUCUGCCAUCCUUUACAGAGGACCCUCUCUUUGCAGACUGCCAGAAGACUGUCUGCAGUCUGAAGGCAUCCUGUUCUUUGAAAGCUUGCCCUGGCCAAUUCCAGGUUCAAGAUAAAGAAUAUUAAGAACUGUCACCCAUUAGCCGUGAGCACCUGGAGAGCAGAAUGACAGGCAGACACACAGUUUAACUUGUCACAGUGUGCUACAUUGAGAUUAGUUUUUAUGAUAUCUCUAUUUAAAUAAUGCUAAUCAUUUCUAAAUGUGUAUUGUUGCAGAUAAUUAGCAUGUGCAAGUUUUAUGCAGACCACAACCCAAUUUUGUCCUUUUCUUUGGUCAAUUCAUAAGCAGCUAUUCUUGGUUUGGGGAUAUACAUAAACAGGAUUGCUUUGUUUUAUCAGCACCCAUUUAGACUGUAGACUAAAAUAAAGUGUACAGACUUCAGUGAUGGAAGUGCCAAAUACUACUUUUUUCUGUGUGUUGAUCAAACACUCCCUGGACUUUGCAUCAGCUACCAAGAGGAAGAAUGAAUGAUUAAUUUCCUGUUUUACCAAAGCCAGGCUUUCCCAAGGAAGUUCUUAACCUUUAUUUUCUCAUAUAAUUUCUUCCCGUACCCCUUUUCUUUCUAUUGUUUUGAAAAAAAUAAGUUUUUGUAGCCAGUUACAACAGAAUUUCAGAAAUAACUCAUUGCAAAAAAACUUAGUUUUCAAGUAGGAUAUCAGAAUUUCUUUGAGUUAAAUGGAAAGUUCCUGUUGUAUGGAACCUUUGCACAUUAUUGAAGAAAUUGUGAACUACUUUCUGCAGGAGUAACUGGAAAACAUUUGUCCUCAGUAGCUCAGGCAGAUGCUUGCUUACCAGCAAGAGUAAAGUGCAUGGUGAAAAAGUGCACAGAAAUAUAGUUCAACUCUUCUGAAGAAAACACUUCAACAACAAAUGGAUGGGC
Varanus komodoensis (Komodo dragon) is the source of this 1471-nucleotide long non-coding RNA. RefSeq lists it as uncharacterized. The record is from RefSeq and is a predicted model, not a curated record. NCBI's taxonomy places the organism in Eukaryota, Metazoa, Chordata, Lepidosauria, Squamata, Varanidae. The transcript has 4 exons.